AAUAAAUGUAGUUUUACACUGUUCAUGUCAAAUGUUCGAUUGUUCGUCUUAUUUAAAAUUUUUUUUAUGAUUAGUAUUUUUAUUGUUAUUAUAUGAUAAAAACAUGAAUAUUACUUUAUGUGUCUAACUUUUUUAUUUUUUUCAUUAAUUUCUCAAAUAAGACGGACGGUCAACGGAGGGACGGAGGUC
This 189-nucleotide microRNA precursor is filed under the name Oryza nivara. RNAcentral describes it as "MIR812 microRNA precursor family". It matches the Rfam family "MIR812 microRNA precursor family". The record is from Rfam by way of RNAcentral. Lineage: Eukaryota; Viridiplantae; Streptophyta; Magnoliopsida; Poales; Poaceae.